This is a long non-coding RNA of Apis cerana (Asiatic honeybee), 2199 nucleotides long. RefSeq lists it as uncharacterized. NCBI's taxonomy places the organism in Eukaryota, Metazoa, Arthropoda, Insecta, Hymenoptera, Apidae. The record is from RefSeq and is a predicted model, not a curated record.
CUAAAAAAAAAAGAACACUUAUAUUUUUGCAUUUUUAUAAAUAAUAUAAAUAAAAUCACUAGUUCUUUAUAAUUAUAUCUGUAUAUCAUCAAACUUCAUUACGUUACAGUUAACGUUCUUGAUAGAUAUUUAAUUUCCAAAUUUUUUUGGAACUAUUAUGUAUUGGAACUCGAUUUAUCCAACUCUGAUAAAGGUCGAUCAGCAACCUCGAUUUAUUUCAAUAUGGUAUAAAAUAGAUUGUAUCAAGAACUUUCAAAAGUCGAUGCAAUAUUAAUAGCGAUCAAUUAUUUAUAGAUGUAGGUUUUCUGUACGAUUAAAGCGUACCAUCUGGUGAAUUAUCGAGUUUCUGGAAUGCGUAGGAUGACAAACGGGAUUGCUAUAAACGAUUCAUUACAAUGUAUAUUAGGGAUGAACCUAUGAUAAUCUCGAGGAUGGUCUUUGAAUUAGAGAUUCGUGCUUCGUGGAGAAAUAAAAUUAUAAUAAGUAUAAAAAAAGAAUAUUCUGUAACCUGUCUUUUCAAUUUUUAUGAAUUUAUAUUUACAUCAAUGUAUAUUUAUAAUAGAUAUAUACAAAAUAAUUAUAUUAAAAGCUCAGAUAAAGAUAAUCAUCAAUUAUAUUAAUUAUUACAGCAAAAAAGUUAAUUUCUUCGUAUAAGAUCCACAAAUUAACUUUAUACAACAAAUUAUUGGGAUUUUAAUUUUGUGGAAUCAAUUGAUAUCGAAGAAGUUCUAUAAGUAUUUAAGUAUGUAUUUUGUAUGUGAUUCUUAAACAUAGCAAGUUAUCAAUCAACAUUCUUAAGAAAGCCUUCAAAACUUAAGAAUUUAAAUUGGACAACAUUGAUUCAGGACAUUUGUACUUUGGAAAAUUGAACUUCAAAUCUUCAAAAUUAUUUUAAAAUACAAAUUAAAUAAAAUUUGUAAGGGUCAGAAUUUUUGAAAUCUACAAAUAUCUGGCUGUGAUAGUCAAUAUCCAUAUAAUUUAUUAUUUAUUAAUUUUACAUUAAUGUAAAAAGAAGAGGAGAAAAAAGAAGAAAAAGGAAAAAUGGAUUGAAAAUCAAUUAACUCAAAUUUCAAUUUAUUGGUCACAGGAUCUGUUACAGGAGAUGUUACAAAACGAAUAAAUCGAUAAAGCAUGCUUUAAAAUUGUCUGAAAUGAAAGAACAAUGCUCGAAAUUGAUACGAAUCGUCGAUCCAUAGUUUGAUUUAAAAAAUGGGACGAAACAAACUUUACCAACUUUGAAUUUAUAACGCUGAUUGCGAUUCAUAUAGUAUAUGCUCGAUUGUUGAAUAGUACAAUGGGUGUACAAGACAAACCAGUUAUAUACAUGAUUGCUAUCAUCUAAUCUAUUAUUUACACAUUACACGUUCACAAGGCAAACGCGUUUACCGAUUUGGACGAUGUUUUCCGAUUUCCAACAUAAUGUUGCUUACAAUUUAACAUAGUAUGAUCAAUUCGAAGAUUAUUUUGAAAAUAGUGAUAUUUCUUAAUCAAUUGAAUACAAAUUGUCAAGAAAUAAUGCAACACGAUUGUUAUAGAAAUUAAAAUUUAACUUUUUAAUAAUAUGAUUUUUCUAUAUUUUAUUUCAUAAGAUAUUUUAUACAAGAAUUUUUCACAUCAAAAAUAAUCCAGUUUCAAACCAUCCAUUUCUUCACUAUUAAAAAUAAUGUGAUAAACAAAAUAUAUACUAUUUUUCUUAAUUUAUAAUACAAUUAUACAUGUAUAUCUUAAAAAUAAUGAAAAUAAAAGAAUAAAGAAUAAACAAUAAAAAAUAAGAUAAUAAAGAAAAGAAUAAACAAUAAAGAUAAAAAAAACAUUUUAUUAAUAUUCAAUAUGAUUAUUAUUAAAAAAUAUAUUGGAAAUUUCAUAUCUAUGCAACAUUUGUACUUACGGAAUCUUGAAAAUAAAUUCUUAACCCAAAUAGUCGACCUCGAAUACUUGAGAAAUUUUGAGAAGCUGACGUCAAUACCAAUACUAUCGUUAUAGCUAUCAUUUUGUGCUAAGCUACAUUAAUUUUAUUUAACGAAAUUAAUUUACAUUACAUGAAACAUGAUCACUACAUAAAAUAAGCGAAAAAGAAGAAUUAUUAUCUUUCGUUUCAUCACAUAUAUACUUAAGGAUAUAUAAUAAGUAUAUAAGAUACUCUUAAAUAUAAUAUAAUAUAAUGUACAAAUACGAAUACACAGUUGCAUAUAUAACGAA